GACGAACGCUGGCGGCGUGCUUAACACAUGCAAGUCGAACGGAAAGGCCCUGCUUUUGUGGGGUGCUCGAGUGGCGAACGGGUGAGUAACACGUGAGUAGCCUGCCCUUGACUUUGGGAUAACUUCAGGAAACUGGGGCUAAUACCGGAUAGGAGCUCCUGCUGCAUGGUGGGGGUUGGAAAGUUUCGGCGGUUGGGGAUGGACUCGCGGCUUAUCAGCUUGUUGGUGGGGUAGUGGCUUACCAAGGCUUUGACGGGUAGCCGGCCUGAGAGGGUGACCGGCCACAUUGGGACUGAGAUACGGCCCAGACUCCUACGGGAGGCAGCAGUGGGGAAUAUUGCACAAUGGGCGGAAGCCUGAUGCAGCAACGCCGCGUGCGGGAUGACGGCCUUCGGGUUGUAAACCGCUUUCGCCUGUGACGAAGCGUGAGUGACGGUAAUGGGUAAAGAAGCACCGGCUAACUACGUGCCAGCAGCCGCGGUGAUACGUAGGGUGCGAGCGUUGUCCGGAUUUAUUGGGCGUAAGGGCUCGUAGGUGGUUGAUCGCGUCGGAAGUGUAAUCUUGGGGCUUAACCCUGAGCGUGCUUUCGAUACGGGUUGACUUGAGGAAGGUAGGGGAGAAUGGAAUUCCUGGUGGAGCGGUGGAAUGCGCAGAUAUCAGGAGGAACACCAGUGGCGAAGGCGGUUCUCUGGGCCUUUCCUGACGCUGAGGAGCGAAAGCGUGGGGAGCGAACAGGCUUAGAUACCCUGGUAGUCCACGCUGUAAACGGUGGGUACUAGGUGUGGGGUCCAUUCCACGGGUUCCGUGCCGUAGCUAACGCUUUAAGUACCCCGCCUGGGGAGUACGGCCGCAAGGCUAAAACUCAAAGGAAUUGACGGGGCCCCGCACAAGCGGCGGAGCAUGCGGAUUAAUUCGAUGCAACGCGUAGAACCUUACCUGGGUUUGACAUGGAUCGGGAGUGCUCAGAGAUGGGUGUGCCUCUUUUGGGGUCGGUUCACAGGUGGUGCAUGGCUGUCGUCAGCUCGUGUCGUGAGAUGUUGGGUUAAGUCCCGCAACGAGCGCAACCCUUGUUCACUGUUGCCAGCACGUUAUGGUGGGGACUCAGUGGAGACCGCCGGGGUCAACUCGGAGGAAGGUGGGGAUGACGUCAAGUCAUCAUGCCCCUUAUGUCCAGGGCUUCACGCAUGCUACAAUGGCUGGUACAGAGAGUGGCGAGCCUGUGAGGGUGAGCGAAUCUCGGAAAGCCGGUCUCAGUUCGGAUUGGGGUCUGCAACUCGACCUCAUGAAGUCGGAGUCGCUAGUAAUCGCAGAUCAGCAACGCUGCGGUGAAUACGUUCCCGGGGCU
Molecule: ribosomal RNA, 1345 nt
Filed under: uncultured bacterium
Lineage: Bacteria
Description: partial 16S ribosomal RNA
Rfam family: Bacterial small subunit ribosomal RNA
Source: RNAcentral